Molecule: ribosomal RNA, 459 nt
Filed under: uncultured bacterium
Lineage: Bacteria
Description: partial 16S ribosomal RNA
Rfam family: Bacterial small subunit ribosomal RNA
Source: RNAcentral
CCUACGGGGGGCUGCAGUGAGGAAUCUUGGUCAAUGGUCGGGAGACUGAACCAGCCAAGCCGCGUGAGGGAUGAAGGUACAGAGUAUCGUAAACCUCUUUUGUCAGGGCACAAAGGCACGGACGCGUCCCCGGAUGAGUGUACCUGAAGAAAAAGCAUCGGCUAACUCCGUGCCAGCAGCGUCGGUAAUAGGGGGGAUGCGGGCGUUGUCGGGAUUUAUUGUGUUUAUCGGGUGCGAGGGGGGUCUGUUAUGUUAGCGGGAAACGCCCGGGCCUAAACCCCGACCCGCCGUGGAAAUUGGCAGCCGUGAGUUGGAGAGAAGUAUGCGGAAUGCGCUGUGUAGCGGUGAAAUGCAUAGAUAUCGCGCAGAACUCCGAUGGCGAAGGCAGCAUGCCGGCUCCACACUGACGCUGAGGCACGAAAGCGUGGGUAUCGAACAGGAUUAGAUACCCCUGUAGUC